Molecule: ribosomal RNA, 637 nt
Filed under: Arthrobacter sp. Se1Ps_1962
Lineage: Bacteria; Bacillati; Actinomycetota; Actinomycetes; Micrococcales; Micrococcaceae
Description: bacterial SSU rRNA
Rfam family: Bacterial small subunit ribosomal RNA
Source: RNAcentral
AGCCUGAUGCAGCGACGCCGCGUGAGGGAUGACGGCCUUCGGGUUGUAAACCUCUUUCAGUAGGGAAGAAGCGAAAGUGACGGUACCUGCAGAAGAAGCGCCGGCUAACUACGUGCCAGCAGCCGCGGUAAUACGUAGGGCGCAAGCGUUAUCCGGAAUUAUUGGGCGUAAAGAGCUCGUAGGCGGUUUGUCGCGUCUGCCGUGAAAGUCCGGGGCUCAACUCCGGAUCUGCGGUGGGUACGGGCAGACUAGAGUGAUGUAGGGGAGACUGGAAUUCCUGGUGUAGCGGUGAAAUGCGCAGAUAUCAGGAGGAACACCGAUGGCGAAGGCAGGUCUCUGGGCAUUAACUGACGCUGAGGAGCGAAAGCAUGGGGAGCGAACAGGAUUAGAUACCCUGGUAGUCCAUGCCGUAAACGUUGGGCACUAGGUGUGGGGGACAUUCCACGUUUUCCGCGCCGUAGCUAACGCAUUAAGUGCCCCGCCUGGGGAGUACGGCCGCAAGGCUAAAACUCAAAGGAAUUGACGGGGGCCCGCACAAGCGGCGGAGCAUGCGGAUUAAUUCGAUGCAACGCGAAGAACCUUACCAAGGCUUGACAUGAACCGGAGAUACCUGGAAACAGGUGCCCCGCUUGCGGUC